Molecule: transfer RNA, 90 nt
Filed under: Coniochaeta pulveracea
Lineage: Eukaryota; Fungi; Ascomycota; Sordariomycetes; Coniochaetales; Coniochaetaceae
Rfam family: tRNA
About the family: Transfer RNA (tRNA) molecules are approximately 80 nucleotides in length. Their secondary structure includes four short double-helical elements and three loops (D, anti-codon, and T loops). Further hydrogen bonds mediate the characteristic L-shaped molecular structure. tRNAs have two regions of fundamental functional importance: the anti-codon, which is responsible for specific mRNA codon recognition, and the 3' end, to which the tRNAs corresponding amino acid is attached (by aminoacyl-tRNA synthetases). tRNAs cope with the degeneracy of the genetic code in two manners: having more than one tRNA (with a specific anti-codon) for a particular amino acid; and 'wobble' base-pairing, i.e. permitting non-standard base-pairing at the 3rd anti-codon position.
Source: Rfam by way of RNAcentral
GCGGGUUUAGCUCAGUUGGGAGAGCGUCAGACUGAAGUCAAACUUCAUCAGUCCAUCUGAAGGUCGUGUGUUCGAUCCACACAAACCGCA